Molecule: non-coding RNA, 650 nt
Filed under: Beta vulgaris subsp. vulgaris (sugar beet)
Lineage: Eukaryota; Viridiplantae; Streptophyta; Magnoliopsida; Caryophyllales; Amaranthaceae
Description: Bacterial large subunit ribosomal RNA
Rfam family: Bacterial large subunit ribosomal RNA
Source: Rfam by way of RNAcentral
UCAAGCGAUCCUGCGCGGAAAAUGUAACGGGGCUCAAGCCAGUCGCCGAAGGUAUGGGUUUGCACUUUGUGCAAGCGGUAGCGGAGCGUUCCGUAAGCCGGUGAAGGUCAACUGUGAGGUUGGCUGGAGGUAUCGGAAGUGAGAAUGCUGACAUGAGUAACGAUAAACAGUGUGAGAAACACUGUCGCCGAAAGACCAAGGGUUCCUGCGUAAAGCUAAUCUGCGCAGGGUUAGUCGGCCCCUAAGGCGAGGCUGAAAAGCGUAGUCGAUGGGAAGCAGGUAAAUAUUCCUGCACCAGCUGGAAGUGACGGAUGGCGUAAGUUGUCAGGGCUUAUUGGAUUGUCCUGGCAGCGAAGUUGUCCCUGGAAAUAACUCCAGCAGAGACCGUACCCGAAACCGACACAGGUGGUCAGGUAGAGUAUACCAAGGCGCUUGAGAGAACUGUGCUGAAGGAACUCGGCAAAUUGCACGCGUAACUUCGGAAUAAGCGUGACUCACCCAGCGCAAGCUGGACUGAGUGGCACAAGCCAGGGGGUAGCGACUGUUUAGCAAAAACACAGGGCUCUGCGAAGCAGCAAUGCGACGUAUAGGGUCUGACGCCUGCCCGGUGCCUGAAGGUUAAAGGGAGAUGUGAAAGCGUCGAACUGAAG